GAUUUUGAUUUUUUUUUUGUGAUGUUAAUUUUCUUCCAAUUGAUGGGUUCAAUUUUUUUAGGGAUUUUGGGUUCAAUGAUUUUUUUAUUUUCUUUUGGUUUUAUUAUUUUCGUUAAUAAGUAAUUUAAUGAAAAAUUAAAAUUUGAGAUUUGAAGACGACUUUAUUUGCAGAAAAAUUGAAGUUUCAAAUGUGAAUGAUAAUACAAUAUAUGAUUUUAGUGAAUCUAAC
RNAcentral lists this long non-coding RNA (229 nucleotides) under Gossypium raimondii (Peruvian cotton). RNAcentral's name for it is "long non-coding RNA (GRAI_LNC001276)". Lineage: Eukaryota; Viridiplantae; Streptophyta; Magnoliopsida; Malvales; Malvaceae. The record is from RNAcentral.